Molecule: ribosomal RNA, 442 nt
Filed under: uncultured bacterium
Lineage: Bacteria
Description: partial 16S ribosomal RNA
Rfam family: Bacterial small subunit ribosomal RNA
Source: RNAcentral
CCUACGGGAGGCAGCAGUAGGGAAUCUUUCACAAUGGGCGAAAGCCUGAUGGAGCAACGCCGCGUGCAGGAUGAAGGCCUUCGGGUUGUAAACUGCUUUUAUAAGCGAGAAAUAUGAUGGUAACUUAUGAAUAAGGAUCGGCUCACUACGUGCCAGCAGCCGCGGUCAUACGUAGGAUCCGAGCAUUAUCCGGAGUGACUGGGUGUAAAGAGUUGCGUAGGUGGCAUAAUAAGUAGCUAGUGAAAUCUGGUGGCUCAACCAUUCAGACUAUUAGCUAAACUGUUAAGCUCGAGACCGUUAGGGGUAACUGGAAUUUCUAGUGUAGGAGUGAAAUCCGUAGAUAUUAGAAGGAACACCAAUAGCGUAGGCAGGUUGCUGGGACGGUUCUGACACUAAGGCACGAAAGCGUAGGGAGCAAACGGGAUUAGAUACCCGAGUAGUC